RNAcentral lists this non-coding RNA (24 nucleotides) under Arabidopsis thaliana (thale cress). Lineage: Eukaryota; Viridiplantae; Streptophyta; Magnoliopsida; Brassicales; Brassicaceae. The record is from RNAcentral.
AGGGUUUUCUACUUUCACGCUUGC